AAAGUCGUAACAAGGUUUCCGUAGGUGAACCUGCGGAAGGAUCAUUAAUGAAACUUCAAAGUCGGCCGACUGUGCUGGUGACCCUGUUGCAGGUGCACAUCGGUCGCAAUAUCCACACACACCUGUGCACCUCUGACCUUGAAGCUCGCUCGCUCAUCGAGCAGCCGACUGCCCUCGUUGGUGGUCCGAGUUUUGGGGUAUUUACACACACGAAUGUAAUGGAAUGUCCAUCGUGCUUAACUGCACAUCUAAUACAACUUUCAACAACGGAUCUCUUGGCUCUC
RNAcentral lists this unclassified non-coding RNA (284 nucleotides) under Basidiomycota sp. RNAcentral describes it as "partial contains small subunit ribosomal RNA, internal transcribed spacer 1, and 5.8S ribosomal RNA". The stretch from base 1 to 47 matches the Rfam family "Eukaryotic small subunit ribosomal RNA", at positions 1785 to 1831 of the family's 1831-position model. The record is from RNAcentral. Lineage: Eukaryota; Fungi; Basidiomycota.